AACGAACGCUGGCGGCGUGCUUAAUACAUGCAAGUCGAGCGAGAAAGUUCCCUUCGGGGAUGAGUACAGCGGCGAACGGGUGCGUAACACGUGGGCAAUCUGCCCUCAAGUUCGGGACAAGGCCACCGAAAGGGGGUCUAAUACCGGAUGUGACCGUCCUGAGGCAUCUUGGGACGAUCAAAGGUAGCCAACUAAACUAUGCUAUCGCUUGAGGAUGAGCCCGCGGCCCAUAGCUUGUUGGCGGGUAACGGCCACCAAGGCUGCGAUGGGUAGCCGGCCUGAGAGGGUGAUCGGCCACACUGGGACUGAGAUACGGCCCAGACUCCUACGGGAGGCAG
RNAcentral lists this ribosomal RNA (338 nucleotides) under uncultured bacterium. RNAcentral's name for it is "bacterial SSU rRNA". It matches the Rfam family "Bacterial small subunit ribosomal RNA", at positions 29 to 351 of the family's 1533-position model. The record is from RNAcentral.